CAAGGUGGAGCCACCCUGGGCUCAUAUAAGGGCCAGCCACUAGCUGCUUCCUGUGAAGGAGUGCUGCAUUGCCAGAGGGCUGCUUCAUCAGUUGGGCGUGUUACUGCUGUAUACCUUUCAAGACUGAUUCAGCACAUGACACAAGUGAAAAUAGGGGAAAGAAAGCAACCUAGUCAUACCUGGAGUGCUUUUUAAAAGGGGAUGCUGACUAUGGGAAGCAAUGGCAUGCUCAAAUCACAGCCCCUGAGGGAAUUCAUGAGGCAGUGGAGGAGGUGAAAAUAACCUCUAUAUUUGAAUACUACGAAAGUCAAGACAUCACAAAGUAGUGUAUUUCCUCUCUUGCAGAAGGAGCAUCAGUCUAAACACUGAAUAUCCUGGCUUUCAUGGUUUAUAAAAAGAAGAAAAUGGGAUCAAAACAUUAUUUAUUUACUUAUUUUGCCUUGGAGAUACAGCAGCAGCUUUGAUUUCCUUAAUUACACCCAUCAUGCUAGAAAGGUCAUAGUCCAAUUUUGGUUACUAUUCAGGAAGCAGAGAGAAUAACUUGGAGCUUGUUUUUCACCUGCUUUCACAAUCCAGCAAGGCUUCCUUCUUUCUUUUACCAGAACAGCUACAUCCUCCUGAGAUUUGACCAGCAUGCAACUAGUCAGUCAACAGGAAAUUAUUUACAGUUUAAUUUUUCAUCAUUUGUGAUAACAAAAAAUGCCUGAAGAGUUGUAUUCCAAGGACAACUCCCCCCCUUCCUCUCUGAGACAAAAUGGACCAUUUAACUCUGUUUCUGCCUGCUUUUUAUUUACAAAUAAACAGAACCAGGUUAAACUUUGCUGAACUUAUUUUGUUUGCUUUCCCACUCUAUAUGCAUGGGAAACCCUGAGCACAGCUCAAAAAUAAAACCACAGCAGACAUUUUACAGAUGACCUCUGCAUAUCUUAGGGACCACUGAAGAUUCGCAAGAUGAGAAACUGCUGAUCCCACAGCACAUUGCAACACUGUCCUUGGGAGCCAAUGAACUACAGGCUGCAAAGAUGCUAACCCUUUUGGCCUUAAUCCAGCAACAUAUUUAAGUAUGUGCUUAACAUUAAACACCUGAUUUGCCCUGUGGGCUUCAGAUGGAUUGCCCAUGGAUGGCAGCCAAAGUGCUCAGCACCAAGCCAAGUCUUCCAGGGGGAAGACUACGGAGAAUGUUCAUCUUCUCAGUGGUGAUGAGUAAGUGCUGAAGAUGCUUUGGUGCCAUUUGCUAAUUGCUGGCCUGAUUUAUUGCCUCCUGCGGCCGAGGGAAGGAUCGUUUUGGCCUUGAUGUAAUUAAGUAAUGCUCUGCAUGAUUAGCUAGCUAAAACUGUGACUUUUCAGGCUUUUCAAGUGAAAUUCUAUCAUUAGCUGUUAUAGAUCUGGAUCAUUCCAUUGUUUCACCAAUUUGCCCCUUCCCCAACUUAUCAACGGGUAAUGGAUGGUACCAAAGGACACUCUGUAGCCUUUCCAAAGGCAUCAUUGUAGUAAAAGACACUCAUCAACAUAAUUUCUUUUCUUGUUUUGGUUUCCUCAGUUCCUCUGAAACAAUACACCCAGCUUUGAAUAGCAGUAUGUUUGUAAACACUCUUUCAGAGUACUGUUAGGAGUAGUUCAUAGUUCAGUAGAAUCCUCCUUGCAUCUGGUUUUUCUUCUCAGGAUAUGACCACAAAUGUGAUUCACCCCCUGCUGAUUAUGUCAUUGUUUCAGCCAGCUGGUAAUUAGGGUUGGAAACCCUGGUGACUCUUCCUUCUCUGACAGCUGUGCAUUGGCUGAUGAUUUUGGUGAUGGGAAUAACUUCAGGAAUUCUUCUGGCAUGAACACACAUUGCCUUCCACCUAUCUUUCCCUUGAUGGACUGCAUUAUCACCUUUUUUUUUUCAUACAGAAGGGUAAGAGAUUGGUUGUUGCUUCCCAGUUUCAAAGCAAAGUCAGGGAUUUCUCUCCAGUGGCUCACUUCCACAGUGUUUGCCUGUAGGCCCCCAGGAAACGCUUGCUGGUUCCCAGCUGCUGUGUGGUUGCCAGGUGGGUCCACGUCCUGUCUGGUGGCCCUUGUCACUCAGUAAAAAUAAAUUUUACUCCCUCACCUUUUCAUCUGAAACAUGAGUACACCAGCUGUUUACACAGGCCAACAUCUCAGGUGUUGUGAGGAAUGAAGUCCUUGUCAAAGGCCCACUGGCAGCUCAGCUGAGGAAGCCCCUCUGCUUGUUGCUCCCGGCUUGUUACUAUGGGCAGAACUUCACAGCCCCAUGCAGCCAUCUCUGGAGAGGUUUUCAACCCAGAGGAUGGGCAAGGAGGCUGCAACCUCACCUGAAAUCCCUACUUCUGGGAGUGAAGCUGUCACUGCUUCAGUGCAUACUAAGCUGAUAGUUUCCUUGUUGUCCACACAGCCUACAUCCCUUGUGCCAGUGCCCAGAGAUGUACAGCCCAACCCUGCUCUGUGCCUAUGCCUGUGCAUGGAGGGGACUCCACCAAUGGAACACGCGUG
Long non-coding RNA from Numida meleagris (helmeted guineafowl), 2490 nucleotides. RefSeq lists it as uncharacterized. The record is from RefSeq and is a predicted model, not a curated record. The transcript is spliced from 4 exons. Lineage: Eukaryota; Metazoa; Chordata; Aves; Galliformes; Numididae.